GGCCUACACAUGCAAGUCGAGCGGUAGCACAGAGAGCUUGCUCUCGGGUGACGAGCGGCGGACGGGUGAGUAAUGUCUGGGAAACUGCCUGAUGGAGGGGGAUAACUACUGGAAACGGUAGCUAAUACCGCAUAACGUCGCAAGACCAAAGAGGGGGACCUUCGGGCCUCUUGCCAUCAGAUGUGCCCAGAUGGGAUUAGCUAGUAGGUGGGGUAACGGCUCACCUAGGCGACGAUCCCUAGCUGGUCUGAGAGGAUGACCAGCCACACUGGAACUGAGACACGGUCCAGACUCCUACGGGAGGCAGCAGUGGGGAAUAUUGCACAAUGGGCGCAAGCCUGAUGCAGCCAUGCCGCGUGUAUGAAGAAGGCCUUCGGGUUGUAAAGUACUUUCAGCGGGGAGGAAGGUGUUGAGGUUAAUAACCUCAGCAAUUGACGUUACCCGCAGAAGAAGCACCGGCUAACUCCGUGCCAGCAGCCGCGGUAAUACGGAGGGUGCAAGCGUUAAUCGGAAUUACUGGGCGUAAAGCGCACGCAGGCGGUCUGUCAAGUCGGAUGUGAAAUCCCCGGGCUCAACCUGGGAACUGCAUUCGAAACUGGCAGGCUAGAGUCUUGUAGAGGGGGGUAGAAUUCCAGGUGUAGCGGUGAAAUGCGUAGAGAUCUGGAGGAAUACCGGUGGCGAAGGCGGCCCCCUGGACAAAGACUGACGCUCAGGUGCGAAAGCGUGGGGAGCAAACAGGAUUAGAUACCCUGGUAGUCCACGCCGUAAACGAUGUCGACUUGGAGGUUGUGCCCUUGAGGCGUGGCUUCCGGAGCUAACGCGUUAAGUCGACCGCCUGGGGAGUACGGCCGCAAGGUUAAAACUCAAAUGAAUUGACGGGGGCCCGCACAAGCGGUGGAGCAUGUGGUUUAAUUCGAUGCAACGCGAAGAACCUUACCUACUCUUGACAUCCAGAGAACUUUCCAGAGAUGGAUUGGUGCCUUCGGGAACUCUGAGACAGGUGCUGCAUGGCUGUCGUCAGCUCGUGUUGUGAAAUGUUGGGUUAAGUCCCGCAACGAGCGCAACCCUUAUCCUUUGUUGCCAGCGGUCCGGCCGGGAACUCAAAGGAGACUGCCAGUGAUAAACUGGAGGAAGGUGGGGAUGACGUCAAGUCAUCAUGGCCCUUACGAGUAGGGCUACACACGUGCUACAAUGGCGCAUACAAAGAGAAGCGACCUCGCGAGAGCAAGCGGACCUCAUAAAGUGCGUCGUAGUCCGGAUUGGAGUCUGCAACUCGACUCCAUGAAGUCGGAAUCGCUAGUAAUCGUAGAUCAGAAUGCUACGGUGAAUACGUUCCCGGGCCUUGUACACACCGCCCGUCACACCAUGGGAGUGGGUUGCAAAAGAAGUAGGUAGCUUAACCUUCGGGAGGGCGCUACCACUUG
Molecule: ribosomal RNA, 1424 nt
Filed under: bacterium
Lineage: Bacteria
Description: bacterial SSU rRNA
Rfam family: Bacterial small subunit ribosomal RNA
Source: RNAcentral